Long non-coding RNA from Salvia splendens (bonfire salvia), 1137 nucleotides. RefSeq lists it as uncharacterized. The transcript has 2 exons. Lineage: Eukaryota; Viridiplantae; Streptophyta; Magnoliopsida; Lamiales; Lamiaceae. The record is from RefSeq and is a predicted model, not a curated record.
UUUAUUGAUGAAAUAUAUUUGUGACUAUAUACUAUGCUUGUGUCGACGGCUAAUGAGUAUUUACAUAAUCUCAUUAUUCAAAUUAAAAAUACUAUGUAUAAGUUAACAUCCUUGAUAUCAAGUACUAUAUAAUUGAUACAAAUUAAAUUCCUAUUUAAUUAAAAAGGAUAUCGAUUAGUAGUAUAUAAUUAUAUACUACUAUUAUUACUUAUUAUAUAAAAUAUUAAAAAGCUCAAAAUAAAGCCUAAAUAGUAUACUCCAUAUUUAAUUAAACCCUAAUCUUCAAACCUACAGGAGGGGUGCCGCCGCCAUUUCCCUCUCUGUCUAUCUCUAUCUCUCUGCUCUCUUUGUCUCUUCUACGACCACCGCAUCCUCAUCCCUACUCGCCGCUCGCCAAGGCUCUCCACCGCCGUGCAUCCCUAAUUCUACCGCCCUACUUCCCGCCCGCCUGCUUCAGCUAUCCCACCAACCUCGGGCAGCCGCCGCUGCCGCCACACCGACAGUUCUCUCGGUCAGCCGCAGCCCGCUGCUUCACCAUUAUCUCAGAUCUCUCUCGGUAUCACGCCCCACCACAAUUGUUGCCGCCCCAGCAGCCACUGCAUUCGGCGUCUGGACUCGCCGCCGUCACCCUCUGUUCCUUCAUGCCGCGUCGCCCUUGUUCCCGAAACGGGUAGAUCGAAAGAUUCUACCUUUGUCGGUAGCCAGAGUGGCCGCCGGAUUCGGGCCAGAAUCGCCCCCAUGGAUGAAAUUUGUUGUUUGAAUUAGCAUUUAUGUAGAUUUGUUACAUAGAAAUAUGGCAAUGGUGUAAGUAUCUUGUUGGAGAAGACACACCUCAUGGCUCAUUGCACUUCUCAAGACAUCUCUUAAGAAAUAUUCUGCACAAGGAGCUCAAGAUGGCGUGUGAAAUGUUCUUAACACAGCCUGUUUUAAAUGACCAAAAGGUUAAAUAAAAUAGCUUCACAUUUUCCCUCCAAAAAGGAUAAAAUUGUCUUUUUAUCAAACUGUCACUUUAGAUUAGUAUAGAUUCUGUUUUUAUUUUAAUUUAUGUAAUUCCAAUUGUAAUAAAUUUGUUUCCAUAUAUUUUUUCUUCUCUAUUUAAGUUGUACAGAGUAUGUUAUAUACUAUUGCAUUUGACAA